This 1054-nucleotide long non-coding RNA is filed under the name Arabidopsis lyrata. RNAcentral describes it as "long non-coding RNA (ALYR_LNC002956)". The record is from RNAcentral. Lineage: Eukaryota; Viridiplantae; Streptophyta; Magnoliopsida; Brassicales; Brassicaceae.
AGCCAGAAAGGAUAGUCUUUUGAUAGUCUAAUAUUUAAAUUGUAAACAAAAGAUAAGAAUAUUUAUUUUAUUUUUCCUUUUUUUUUUUUUUUUCGUCUGAAUGAUAUUGAUAAAACUUCGAAGGAUACAACGACCGGCGGAAAAAGAUAAUAUCCCCGGUAAGAUAAGUCGGCGGAAAAUGGAUAUAUCCCCGAAGACAAGAGCCCAAAAGAGGGAAACUAAUAAACAACCGAUGAUACAACGAUAAGCUAAAACUUAGAAAACAAACCUAGAGUCCUCCAAUGAGUGAAAUGACAAGGAACCACGAGAAUCUAAAGAAAAAAAUCUGAACUAGGAGCUAAGGGACCAACGCACAAUUGCCUUAUUUGACUUGUGGAGAGGAACCGAAUCAAAACCCAUUGUAUAGCUCUUCUCUCUGCUGAAAGAAAUGAUAGAGCUUUGGAUAGUAUUAAACGUUCCAAACCAACCUCGAGAAGACGAUAACCUCAAAACUGGUAGAGAUACCGCCUAUGAUGGCAAAAAGUGACCCACAAACUCCAAAACGAAGCAGAUCUUAAUGAGACAGAAGAACCAACCAAAGAAAAUGAGCCUAGAGCCAAUGGCAAAUAGCAACGAGUCCGUCUCUUCACAAGAAGAGAUUUUCCAGGACAUUCGAUGCCAAACACAACACCACGAACAACUCAGAUCCAUCUCUCACCACGAACUGACCGGAAACGCCACCAAGCCUCGCUGAGCAGCCAAACCAAACCAGAAACGACUUCACAUCCCACCUGGGAGGGGGCCGCCGCAAAACUCGAGCAAAGAAGCUGCUCCAAGAACAGAAACUUCACCCUCUUCCUCACGAACAAGUAAAAACCCAUCGCAAAAAAGAGACUCACCGGAACGAGUAAAAGGCUAGAGAAAGAAGAAAAGACAACAAAUUACACUAAAGAGGCACAACGCCGGUGCUAAAGGAGCCACCGGACGUUGGCCGAACAUGAGCGGCGGCUGGUUUGUUUUCAGAAAAGAGAGGAGAGAGAAGAAAGCAAAUUAGGUUUUUUUGUCUAUGUUUUGC